This 87-nucleotide transfer RNA is filed under the name Escherichia coli. RNAcentral's name for it is "tRNA-Leu". It matches the Rfam family "tRNA". From Rfam's summary of the family: Transfer RNA (tRNA) molecules are approximately 80 nucleotides in length. RNAcentral also lists the same sequence under 11 other names. Lineage: Bacteria; Pseudomonadati; Pseudomonadota; Gammaproteobacteria; Enterobacterales; Enterobacteriaceae. The record is from RNAcentral.
GCGAAGGUGGCGGAAUUGGUAGACGCGCUAGCUUCAGGUGUUAGUAUCCUUACGGACGUGGGGGUUCAAGUCCCCCCCCUCGCACCA